CAGCCGCCGCGGUAAAACGGAGGGUGCAAGCGUUAAUCGGAAUUACUGGGCGUAAAGCGCACGCAGGCGGUCUGUUAAGUCAGAUGUGAAAUCCCCGGGCUUAACCUGGGAACUGCAUUUGAAACUGGCAGGCUUGAGUCUUGUAGAGGGGGGUAGAAUUCCAGGUGUAGCGGUGAAAUGCGUAGAGAUCUGGAGGAAUACCGGUGGCGAAGGCGGCCCCCUGGACAAAGACUGACGCUCAGGUGCGAAAGCGUGGGGAGCAAACAGGAUUAGAUACCCCAGUAGUCCCUGUCUCUUAUAC
This 301-nucleotide ribosomal RNA is filed under the name uncultured bacterium. Its description in RNAcentral is "partial 16S ribosomal RNA". It matches the Rfam family "Bacterial small subunit ribosomal RNA", at positions 509 to 807 of the family's 1533-position model. The record is from RNAcentral.